UAGAAAAAGGUGAUAGUAGUAGUAGUAACAGCGAAGAUAAUAAUAAUAGUAGCAAUAACAGUAAUAAAAGUUAUAGUAGAUGUAGUAGUAAUAUAGAUAGUAGUAGUAGUAGUAGUGUACCUAAUAGUAGUGAUAAUAGUACUAUAAAUAAGAACAAUAAAAGCAAGGAAAUAAAAAAAAAACUUAUAUUUAAUAAUAUCACAUUAUAUAGCGAUGAUAAAAAAUGCAAAUAUUUAAUUAAUAAAAUAAUAAAAAAAAAUAGAAAAAGUAAAAAUAAAAAUAAAGAACAAAGCAAUGAAAAAAACAAUGAAAAAAACAAUGAAAAAAACAAUGAAAAAAGCAAUGAAAAAAGCAAUGAAAAAAGCAAUGAAAAAAGCAAUGAAAAAAGCAAUGAAAAAAGCAAUGAAAAAAGUAAUGAAAAAAGUAAUGAAAAAAUCUAUGAAAAAAACAAUGAAAAAAGCAAAGAAAAAAACAAAGAAAAAAACAAAGAAAAAAGCAAUGAAAAGGGUAAUGAAAAAAACAUUGGAAACGAAAUGAAGAAUAUAAAUUAUGAGAAAAAAACUUAUAAUAAAAUAAAAAGUAUUUGUGUUGAAUUUCAAAAAAAAAAAAAUAUAUUAUUUCUAAAUUACCACAUCUUAAAUUAAUAACAAUUUUUAAUAUAUAUAACAAAAACGAAAAAUAUCGUAAUAAAAAUAUAAAUUAUAUUUUUGAAAAAAAAAUAUUCCUUUCGACAUAAUUUGUUCACAUUGUCAUAAAUAUUUAUAUAACUGUAAAGAAGUAAAAAAAGAUUAUAAUUUAUUUGAAAAUAUAUUUAAAAAAAAAGAAGACAUAAAAAAAAGAAAUGAACACCUGUUUAAUUUGUUAAUUGAUAAUGUUAAUAAUAAUAAUAAUAAUAGUAGUAGUGGCUGUAUUAGUAAUAACAAUAAAAAAAUUGAAUUUGUGAAAAAACAUAUGGUUGAUCAUUGUUUAGAUAAAAAUAGAAGUUUAUAUAAUUUAACUACGAGCAAAGAUGAUAUUUAUAAAUUAGACAUCGCUAAAAACAGUGGUAAAAAUAGUAGUAAAAACGCCAUUAAAGAUGGUAACGUUGUAAGUGGUAGCGAUAGCGAUAGCGAUACCUAUAGCAAUAAAUCUGAUGUGUGCAUGAAUAAUGGACUAAGUAAUAGUCAUGAUAUAAAUAAUGGAUAUAAUAUAUAUACUGCUACAGAACAAAAUAUGGCUCAGCACAAUAAUGUAAUAAAUAAAAAUUUCUACAACAAAGAGUGGUAUUACAAAAUAAAAGAAAAAAAUAAAUAUAAAAUUGAAAAGUAUAUUUUAUUAGAAGAAAAUAUAAAUGUUAAAGAAUUUAAUUUGAUUCAUUUUAUUGUAAAUGUAGAUAAAAUAUAUGGAAACAUUUCAUUAAAACAUUUAGUUUAUUUAUUCGAUUUAAUAAUAAAUUAUUUUUUUAUAUAUAGCUCUUUUUGUAAUGGUAUUAGUAUUGAAGAUUGGUUGAGAGUACCUGACCCAUCAGAUAUUAUUAGUUAUAAAAAUGAAUUACGUAAAAAAGAAAAAAAAAAAUAUGAUAAAAAUUUGAUUGAAAAGUUUGAAUAUAUGUAUGGUUUUUAUGUAAUAUCAAGUGUAAAAAGAUAUAUAAUGAAUAUAAAAAGUCGUAGUAGUAGUAAUAGCAGUAGUAGUAGUAUGAAUAACAGUACUACUAGUAUUAAUAGCAGUGCUACUAAUAGUGCUAUCACUAAUAAUCACCUUAAUAGUAAUAACAAACGUAAUAAAAACAGAGGUAAUAAUUAUGGAGGUAAUAAUAACAAAGGUAAUAAUAACAAACGUAAUAAUAACGGAGGUAAUAAUAACGGAAGUAAUAAAAAAUAUAUAAAUCCAUAUUUUAUUAAUCAUGAAUAUAAUAUGAUAAAUAAUGAGAAAAAGGAUUUAAUUGCAUUGUCUUUAUUUCCUUUUUCUCCUUAUUAUGGUUCUUCUAAGCAUACAAAAAAAGUAAAUGUUAAUUGGCUAUUUACAUUAGUAAUAAAAAAAAUGUUCUUAAAUAUAUUUGGUUGUAAUAAAGUAAAUAAAACUAUACAUAUAAAAACAAAUAAUUUAAAAUGUUGUGCUAAGUCUUAUAUAAAUAAUGAUUUUGUUUAUCACAUUUCAUUUAAUAAUAUUGGUUUAUAUUUUUUACAUAAUAAUAAGAAAUUUCCACUUUUAACUUUAUUUGAUAGAAAAGAGAAUACAGAACGAAAACAUCGAUACAUUGGUUAUGCUGAUGAUGAUAAAAAUGGAGAGAGUGAUCGUGAAAACACGACUAGACGACUUGCUACGCUACAUCAUAAACCAAAUUUAAUUUUUAAAUUACAUAAACUGAAACAAAAAGAAAAAAAAAGAAAAAAUGAAGAAAUAAUGGGUUCAGAAGAAAGACAAAUAAAAGGAAGUCGCAUUUUAAGUGAUUUUAAACGUACUAGGAAAAGAAAAAGGACUUUAUGUAUAAAGAACCAAGACAUAAGUUCGUAUUCUUUCCUUUAUUCAAAAGAAAAAGACAAUGAAAUAAAAAACAGUAAAAUAAAAAACAGUAAAAUGGAUGAUAUUAGAAGAAGGGGGAAGAGUAAUUUAUAUUAUGGUAAUAGAGGUACCGUCAGUAGUAGUUACAUUACAGGAAUGAGUGAAAGUAAUCGAGAUAGUGGAAGUAAUCGACUUAGUGGAAGUAAUCGAGAUAGUGGAAGUAAUCGAGAUAGUGGAAGUAAUCGAGAUAGUGGAAGUAAAAAAAAUAAAAACUUCCUUGUUAAUUCGUCAAGUCAAGAACGUAGUAGUAAAAAGCACGGUCUUACCAUUUUUUCGCACAGCAAAUUUGAAACGUCUAAAAAAACUGUUUAUAUAAAAAUUAAUAAAAAUAUAUUAAUAACAUUAGAUGUAAAAAAAAUAUAUAACUUAAUAGAUGUCGAUAUAGAUCACAUUCCUAAUAGUACCAAUUAUU
Molecule: long non-coding RNA, 2953 nt
Organism: Piliocolobus tephrosceles (Ugandan red Colobus)
Lineage: Eukaryota; Metazoa; Chordata; Mammalia; Primates; Cercopithecidae
Source: Ensembl